UAGAGGCAUCCACCCUCAAUCUCAAGCAAUCUUCAGCCAAGAGACAUGAUUCAAAAGCCUUUUCUUUUCUUCUUCCUUUUUCUGCUCAUCUCAAUAUUAUUCAUUCCAUCAACUACAAGAAAAUUGUAUGACGACUCAAAAGGUAGUGAGACAUCUCAGCCUUCAAACUUGCGCACUUCAUUUUUUCGACAUGCAUGUUUGGCUAAGCUUUUAAGCUGUAGCCAUUAUUGGUAUUAAGAAUUCAUAAAUCAUAUCCUAUAGUUUUCAAUAUAUAUUUGCAUUGAUACACUUUAUGUUUAUUUUUAUUGAAAUGAUGAUACAAAGGCAGCGUAACGGGGAGUACCUCAGGGCAUUCUCCUUCGGCGGUUGGAAAUACAGUGCCAGGAACGUCAACCUCUGUACGCCGUAAGUAAUAUAGUCCUUGUUUGUUAGGGAUUAAAAUCGGAAUUUUAGUAUAUUUUGAUCAAAAAAUAUGAUGAAAUAUGUGGUUGAAAAGUUGUUAGUUCCAUAAAAUAUUUGGUUAAAAUUAAUAAUGUUGACUUUGACUUAAGUCAAAAUAUGAAUUUUAAUCUUUAUCAGUGCAUAAUAAAUUUAUCUGUGAGCUUAAUCAUUACAUUAAUUUAGUGACUAGUGACACAAGUCAAAUUGACGGCCACUAUUAAAUUAUCAUCAGAAGUAGCAAAAAAAAAAAAAAAACAUAAAAAUGUCAUAGAAUCAACGCAUUCACUUCGUAAUGUGUUUUUAGUUGACUCCAUAGUAGUCAAAGUAGGCUAACAUUUUUAUUUAUUUAUUUUUCCCCUCUUCUGACGUUUUGUCUUGGUUGUAAUUCUAUAUUAUGUCAUUCACGAAAAUUAGCAUUGACUUCACAACCAUUUUUGGUCAACUAAACAGAAUUUGAAGAUUUAAUUAGAUCCGAGUGCGUCUUUGUUCGUCAACUAUUCUACCAUAUUUUUUUUUUAUAGUACUCAUUUUCAACUACACAUUCUUUAUUAAAAUAAUAUUACACAUAAAUAAAUAAAAAAUCUUUUUUUUUAACCACACAUUUCAAUAUCAAUCACUAUUUCAUAAUAAACUUUUUGAAAUUAAAGAGACACGAAUAGGCCUGAAUUAGAUUAAGCAUCGUAAAACUUAAUUGAUAAAUUAUAACAAGAGUUUUAAUUUUAUCUCGUCUAACCCUAUAUAUUUAAAAUAAUGCUAAUUAAAAAAAUAAAAAAUAAAAAGGGUAAAACAGCGCCUUAUGCAAUAUAUAAUUGUCAUUAAAUGAUAAGUCCAAUUAAAGAAUUUAAUUACGUGACUUAUUCAGUAAACAGGUCUCUUGGGGUCGGUUACUAGAGAUCAAGUUAGACAAUUCAGCCCGAUGUGACCAACCUAUUACGGUAAACCGACCCUGAAACCUCACCAUACCAAGUUGGGUCGAUUUAAAUUCAGUUUUAAUGGGCUGGUUCACCCGGGCCUGGGCCACCAGUCCGUUUAACACCACUAAUUAAGAUAUGAUUUAAAAGCCGUUUCUUGUCUUCUUCUUCUUCUUUUCAUUUCAUCUCAAUCUUGUUAAUUGCAUAAAUUCUUCUCCAUUUUAAUCAGUUCCCUACAUGUUAGUCCAUAGUCCACAAUUACUUUACUAAUAGAUACAAAAACUUAGCAAGUGAACACAUAUUAUUUGAAUAAAGAAUUAAAAUUAAUCUUUCUUUAUUUUAUUACGUCUUCAUUUUUCUUUGUUCUCCUUGUUUCCUUUAUCCUGUGAUAUAUUAGUGAAGAAAAUAUCAUAUUCUCUGUCUGAUUCUAUAUAUUUAUUUCAUGUUUUGGUGGGAUGCAUGACCGAACAAAUAGCUAGAGUGGGUAAAUCUGUAGCGUACAAAGCACUUGUAAUACCAUUUUGUCGUAGCAUGUACAACAGCUCGUGCAUUGGCCGUCCACACGGUAAUCAGACCCGACCAUACGGUAAUCAGACCCGACCAUAACACGAGGACAAGCAGGGAAGUGUAAACUUACUAGUCGUUGAAUAAAUUGUUCCAACUUGUUUUGGAGUUUGUUGUUUACUUGAUUUACUUACCAAGUACACGAAUCAGUCAAUAGCAAUUUCGCUAUAAUUGUAUUAGUCAAUUUGAGUUUGCUUUGCUUCCUAAUUUCUUGCUAAAAUAAGGUAAACUAAUGCCUGUAUCACAUUCUCAGUUGCUUUUCAAGAAUUUCAUAGAUCACUAGCAUUUAUAAUUAUUGAGCUGGCCUGUUAUUAUAGAAUAUGGUGUUGGGCAAUCAUAAAUUCAACAAUUCAAAAUUUUUUUUUUUUUUUAAAUAUUAACCUUUAUGGAGUCCAUCAUGAAUCGGUAAUUGGUUCAAUCGACAUCUUACUGUUCGGCCCAAGUUUGAAUUUAAAUUAAUUUUUAACUUUUUUGGAAAAAUAUUGCAUUCUCGAAACCAAAAAAAGAUAAUAAAAUCUAUGUAACUAAUUAGCUUUUGUAACCGAUAAUUAUGACAGGAAAGUUGCCCAAAGUGAUCUAAAUUCAAAUUUCUC
RNAcentral lists this long non-coding RNA (2509 nucleotides) under Olea europaea subsp. europaea. The record is from RNAcentral. Lineage: Eukaryota; Viridiplantae; Streptophyta; Magnoliopsida; Lamiales; Oleaceae.